This 253-nucleotide ribosomal RNA is filed under the name uncultured bacterium. Its description in RNAcentral is "partial 16S ribosomal RNA". It matches the Rfam family "Bacterial small subunit ribosomal RNA", at positions 524 to 776 of the family's 1533-position model. The record is from RNAcentral.
UACGUAGGAGGCAAGCGUUGUCCGGAAUUACUGGGUGUAAAGCGCGUGUAGGCGGCAGGCCAAGUCUGUGGUGAAAUCGCUCGGCUCAACUGGGCGGGGUCCAUGGAAACUGGUCAGCUGGAGGACGGUAGAGAUGAGUGGAAUUCCCGGUGUAGUGGUGAAAUGCGUAGAUAUCGUAAGGAAGACCAGUGGCGAAGGCGAAUCUCUGGACAGUUACUGACACUGAGGCACGAAGGCCAGGGGAGCAAACGGG